This is a long non-coding RNA of Salmo salar (Atlantic salmon), 247 nucleotides long. RefSeq lists it as uncharacterized. NCBI's taxonomy places the organism in Eukaryota, Metazoa, Chordata, Actinopteri, Salmoniformes, Salmonidae. The record is from RefSeq and is a predicted model, not a curated record.
GACGCUCGCGCACACGACGUGUCCGGUCUGGUCAGCAUUUUGCUUGGACAAUUUCCCCACCACCAUUUUAGCAGAAGGCCACCACAUCAGAGUUGUUAAGACAGAGCCUAUAAACAACAGUGAGACUGACUACCACAUACUGUAAGGCAGUACUGGAUAGCCAUGCAGGCGAAGGAAUCAUAUUUUAUGCAGUGCUGGUGAAAUGGACAAUCAAACAUUGGAUAAUUGUCACGCCCUGACCUUAAGA